UGGGGAAUAUUGGACAAUGGGCGAAAGCCUGAUCCAGCCAUGCCGCGUGAGUGAUGAAGGCCUUAGGGUUGUAAAGCUCUUUCGCCAGGGAAGAUAAUGACGGUACCUGGAAAAGAAGCCUCGGCUAACUCCGUGCCAGCAGCCGCGGUAAGACGGAGGAGGCUAGCGUUGUUCGGAAUUACUGGGCGUAAAGCGUGCGCAGGUUGUGAGAUCAGUUGGAUGUGAAAGCCCGGGGCUUAACCUCGGAUGUGCAUCCAAUACUGUCUCGCUGGAGGUUGGAAGAGGAGAGUGGAAUUCCCAGUGUAGAGGUGAAAUUCGUAGAUAUUGGGAAGAACACCAGUGGCGAAGGCGGCUCUCUGGUCCAUACCUGACACUCAUGCACGAAAGCGUGGGGAGCAAACA
This 402-nucleotide ribosomal RNA is filed under the name uncultured Phaeospirillum sp. RNAcentral describes it as "bacterial SSU rRNA". It matches the Rfam family "Bacterial small subunit ribosomal RNA", at positions 355 to 774 of the family's 1533-position model. The record is from RNAcentral. Lineage: Bacteria; Pseudomonadati; Pseudomonadota; Alphaproteobacteria; Rhodospirillales; Rhodospirillaceae.